AAUUGUUCCAUGCACUUCUGUUUUUUGGGUUUCUUCUGAAUUGAUUGAUUCCUUACGGUUGAUCUUCUUGUCUUUUUCUUUUGUGCUGGUUUAUGAUCAUGCCCAAGUGCACAAGCAAAUUAGGAAGUCUUUAAUAUUUUAAAAGAAAGGAAAGAAAUGGAUGUAGAACUGGAAAACUAAAAAUUAAAGAGAGUGAGACCUGAGAGGAACAGAAGAAAUACCAACUUAAUUACAAAACCAAGAAAACAAAACUAAUGGAGAACUGAGAAACCAAAAUUAGAAGAGAGGCAAAGCAGAACUGAAGAAGUCAAAAACUUUUACAUUUCAGAAAACAUAAUUAAAAUUAGAAAUAAAAGGAGGAGAAAAAUCAAGGAUGGAAAUGAAUGUCCUUACAUAAAUGUUCCCUUCAAUUCAUUGCGAGAUCGGGGAACUCCCGCACGUAAAGACGGAACUACCAUAGAACUUCCCAAUUAAAACCUACAUAAAUGUAUUUGCGAG
This 498-nucleotide long non-coding RNA is filed under the name Solanum tuberosum (potato). Its description in RNAcentral is "long non-coding RNA (STUB_LNC008927)". Lineage: Eukaryota; Viridiplantae; Streptophyta; Magnoliopsida; Solanales; Solanaceae. The record is from RNAcentral.